GAAUGUGAGGGCAAUCUGGCUGCGACCCAUCACCUCGUCCAUCAGCAGGGCCAGGCGGGUGUCCCUGUCGUCUCUCCACGCUCCACGUGUAUCCCUCCUGAAGAUGCACGCUCAGUGGGAGGACACCCACUACAUAGAGGAGGAUCAUUCCUCGACCCGGAGUACACACAAAGCUGCGCUCCCCCGCUGGAGCCUCCAAACAAGCUCUCAAGAAGUCACUAUGACAUCAUAGCCCCUUGCCUCCUCU
Cavia porcellus (domestic guinea pig) is the source of this 247-nucleotide non-coding RNA. NCBI's taxonomy places the organism in Eukaryota, Metazoa, Chordata, Mammalia, Rodentia, Caviidae. The record is from Rfam.